Cavia porcellus (domestic guinea pig) is the source of this 4353-nucleotide long non-coding RNA. RefSeq lists it as uncharacterized. The record is from RefSeq and is a predicted model, not a curated record. The transcript has 2 exons. Lineage: Eukaryota; Metazoa; Chordata; Mammalia; Rodentia; Caviidae.
CUGACACCACUCCACUCGGGCACGCAAAACACAUGUGCCUUCAAACCCGGCCCCUUUCCACACCCCCCGGAAACGACACCCCCUUUCUCACCCGCCGCACACCACCGCCCAUCCCCCCUCCUCCGCCCCUACUCCCAGCGCCCCAGUCCACCCACCCACGUUCCCGGGAACCCAGCCUCCCCUCGCUCCCGGGCUCGCCCGGGGCAAUGGGAGGGAAGCCGGAAGAAGGAUGAAGGGCCCGGGCCCGGCCUAGGCCUCUCGGGCCGCCCAGGGAGGUGAUCAGAACUCCAGGACCAAUUACCUUAGCUUCUGGCUCUUUGUCAGUAGCUGGGCAAAGAACAUGUUGGAAUGGACAGACCCCCCGCUCAGCGCUGCACCUGUUUUCCCUGAUAUUUAUACCACUAAAUGUCGUCAGUAAGUUGUUAUGAAAACCAGUAUUCCGCCUGGGACAACACUGCCUAGCGGUCUCGGCGAAGUUUCAUUUCUAGAUGCGCUAGAUUGUUUUUCUUCCUACAGCCCAGGUCUGGAUUCAAAAUUAAAUGUUAAAAGGUCAUUCUUCCCUCAGCGACCUCUGAUGUUUUGCUCUACUAUAUUAAAAUUUUUUUUCUACAGGUUUUAAAGAAUUUUAAAAGCGAUGAAGGAAAUACUAGCAGUUUAACUUUCAGAUUUUCACAAAAGACAAGUGACAGGUGGUGUUGACAGUAAGAAAUUCUAGGUCACAGACGAAUGGAUAUAGACAAAACCACCAUGCUGCAAAAGGUGGAUCCUAAGGAUCACAAACUGGUAAGCCUGGUGAUGUUCCUUAGCUAAAUUCAAGAACUAUAGUGUUGUGUUAUGCCAUUCUGUUUAAAAGCAUUUUCACUUGUUUAAUUACUCAAUCAAUAUUUAUUAAUCUCCAGUACUAGUACCAGGAGUUGUGCUAGGAACUGGAGAAGCCAAAGUGAGCAAGAUGCAGUCUUAACUGGUUUCAGUUGAGAAAGGAGGGUGCAUGCCUGUAAUCCCAGCACUCAGUGUGUGAGGCAGGAGGAUCCUGGGCCACGAGUUCACAGUUAGCCUGGGCUACAUAACAAGAUCUUAUCUCAAAAAACAUUUUUUUUUUUAUUUUUGUUUUAAAAACAGGAAAAAGGAUUGGGGAUAUAGCUCAGCAGCACAUUGCCUGCUUGGCAAGCACGAGGUUGUGAGUUCAGUCCCCAGUACCAAAGAAAAGAAAUGAUUCCAUUCUUACAAGUUGAAGUUAAAAAAAAAAAAAAGAAAAGAUAUGUUAACUACUUUCUAAUGCUGUAUUUAUCCUCUGGUGUGGGACAUAAAAGGUACGUCGGCCAUUAUAAACCAGUAUCUUUGGUUCUAUCCAUAUCACGCUGGCUAUUAGAGGAUAUUACAAGUGUUAGACGUCCUGAAAGAAGUUAAUAGCUUAGUAGCAGUGAUUGGAAGCAUAAUUGAAUUCAGACAGAUCUCGAUUUGAAACCCAGUGCCUACACUCCAUGGAUAUGUUACCCUAGAUAACCGAUUGUCUUUGCCUAAUUUGUACAGCUGGGAUACAGGAAACUAAUAAUGUAAAUAAAAUGUUUGAUAGUAAGAAUUAAGUGAGCUGUACCUAUUGCUAUCUCUUGGUACCAUUCCUACAAGUUGUAGUCAGUGUGUACAAAGAACAUUCUAGGCAAAGCAAACAACCUUUACAAAAGGCCUCGAGGUAUAUUGGGAAAGGUUUACUUAGAUUGUUAGGGAAAAUAGAGAAUUGAGCAAAGUCCAUAGAAGUCCUUAUAAGGCGGAGUUGGCGGACUGGAGUUUUGCUUAAGGACAAUCAGAUGUUAUUUACAGGGAUUGAAAAAGUCAAGUAACGGACAUUCUGAUUUCCAUUUAGAAAAACACAUUUUGACCCUCAUAAGAACCCUAUUAAGUCAAAAAAAAAAAAAAGUCCUCAUAUUUUAUACUUGGAACAAAGUAAGGCGUGGCAUAGCACAAAAAUACUGUUUUGUAAAAUGCAAAGCCAGGACUUAAACUUGGAGUUCCCGAUGACAAAACCUGUACUCUUUGUCUUAUCUGUUGUGCUAUUAUUAAAUGAUCUUGCAUGUCUUCUGGCAUCUCCUGAUAAGGAAAGUAGUGUUUAUAGUGAGACAGCAGUUCCACAAACUCAUAGGAAGGUAGAUUGAGCAUGCCAACCCUUCAGUGAGAGUCUGCUGUGCUGUUCCAAGUAAGUUCUGUGCUAAACUGUGAUACACAAAAUGUUUGAGGCUGCAGCUGUUGACUGGAGGCCUCUAAGAAAAGUGCUGAAAAUAAAUCAUCUCUCAGUACCAUAUUUAAUAAGGUCUCAGUUUGGGGCUGGGGAUUUAGCUCAGCAGCAUAAGUGCCUUCCUUGCAAGUGUGCAGUCAUGAGUUUGAUCCCUGGUACCGAUAAAAACGAAAAAGACAAAAAAAAAAAAAAAAAAAAAAAAACUCAGGUUAAAUUCUUGUGAACAGGUUAGAGAAAAGAACACAAAGAUACUAGAAUUAGGUAUCAUUAGUACUCUGAUUAAUCAAAAUGUUGACAAAACUAGCUCUGGAUUCCUUGAACAAUACCCAAAGUAUUAAUAAAUUGACAUGAAAAUCUUUAAACCCCUCCUUUGGGCUCUGUCUUUAGCUUUUAUGUAAAGAUUUUAUCUACUGCUUAUGAAAAUACCGUACAUAGCAUCUUUUUUUUUUUCCUUUUAAAUCAGUACUGGGGAUUGAACUCAGGACCACACACUUGCCAGGCAGGCACUUAUGCCACCGAGCUAAAUCUCCAGCCCCUAGCAUUCUUAGCCAACUGUGAUAUAUUGUAAAACCAGUGGAGUCAGAUAUAGCAAUGACAGAUUAGUAUUGAUAGCUCUCUAUCAGCUGGAAAAAUACAUAGUACUAAGACUAAACAAUAUGAAUAUAAAUGUUUUUUGAAUCGGAAUUAACCUAAGAGAAAAAGCAUAUUCUGAUACAUCACUAAUGUUCCAUUUCCCUAGUGCCAGAAAACCAGUUGGCAGAAUACUUUUUAAAACGUUUAAAGUAGGCAUUGCAUUAGCACUGUUAACUAUUCUACUUUGCAAAUCAGUUCUAGGAAAACCUAUAAAAAAUUUUUAUAUUCAAAUACUCAGUGCAGUAUUAUUUAUGAAAUCCAAAAAAUUGCAAAUAAUCUAAAAUUCUACAACAGUGUUUAUGACAUGUUGUAAAUAUGUAACAUGAUCUAGAGUUGUGUGUGCUACAUUACUGUAAUAAUGUUAAGCAAAAAAAAAAAAUUAGUCAGAUACAAUGGUGCACACCUGUAAUCCCAGCGCUUGGGAGGGUGAGGCAGGAGAAUUGCUGUGAGUUUGAGGCCAGCCUGAGCUACUAGUGAGUUCUAGGUCUGCCUGAACUAUGUAGCAAGAAUCUAUUACACAACCCUAAAUAGAAAUAAAGCUUCACUACCCCAAACAUUAAUUUUAUGAGAUGACAGGAUGACAGUGUUUUUUUCUAUUCCCCAAUUUCGCUUUAUGAACAUGUUUCUCAUAUCCUAAACCUUAAAACUUGUUAGCAUUGAAUCUUAGCUACUUAAUUCUGAAAAGUGGGUAUGUAUUAUUUAUUAAAUUAUACUCUGUAUUUUUUGUUUUUAAAUUAUUUGGACACUGGUUGAGCAUUUCUCCACAUUCGCACUAGUCUAGUGUUUCUCAAAAAAUACGUACAAAACUUUUUGACCAUGGAAUACUUUAUUUCCUCUAAUUAUUUUGUGAAAUUCGUGUUCCUAAAAUACAAUUUAGGAAGGACUGUCAUAGUCAUUUAUUGCUUAUUUUCCCCAAAUAACCUGUUUUAAAAAUUACCUACAUUCUUCAUUGGCGUAUCCCCACCCUUCUUAUAAUUUGUACAUUUAUCUGUAAAAAGAAACAGAUGUAGGCCUAACCCUUUGCUCAUGCUGUACCCGCUGACAUUUUCACAGCUCUUCUAUAUCUGGUAUCUUCUCUCUUCUGAUUAUAAGGUAAAUAUGUAAAGGUUCACAUUCAAGUAAUUGUUAAAGAUCCAUUUCAAGUGUGAAAUUUUGUAAUGAAAACAAAAUCUAAGAAACUGGAAUAGUACUUAAAAGAUCAAACUACUUGGGAGACCAGUUUGGGAAUAUGUUUAAAAUUUUUAAACAUACACACCAUAUGGCCCAGGGAUGCCACUUGUAUCUACCAUGGUGGGCAAGGGAAAAAAAAAAAAAAACAGACUUCUUUUGAGAAAUAGGAAUGAGGGUUAGGGCUUGAGCCCAGUGCCUUGUACCUGCUAAGCAUCAGUUCUGUCGCUGAGUCCUUACACUCCCAGCCUCCAGAAAAACAUUAGUAUUCAAGAUAGCAAGCAUAACAGUGUUCAGUUGAGGAAUUGUCGAUAAUAGUAAAA